This 435-nucleotide ribosomal RNA is filed under the name uncultured Oscillospiraceae bacterium. RNAcentral's name for it is "bacterial SSU rRNA". It matches the Rfam family "Bacterial small subunit ribosomal RNA", at positions 341 to 792 of the family's 1533-position model. Lineage: Bacteria; Bacillati; Bacillota; Clostridia; Eubacteriales; Oscillospiraceae. The record is from RNAcentral.
ACGGAAGGCAGCAGUCGGGAAUAUUGCGCAAUGGAGGAAACCCUGACGCAGUGACGCCGCGUAUAGGAAGAAGGUUUUCGGAUUGUAAACUAUUUUAGACAGGGAAGAUACAAGACAGUACCUGUAGAAUAAGCUCCGGCUAACUACGUGCCAGCAGCCGCGGUAAUACGUAGGGAGCAAGCGUUAUCCGGAUUUAUUGGGUGUAAAGGGUGCGUAGACGGGAAUUUAAGUUAGUUGUGAAAUCCCUCGGCUCAACUGAGGAACUGCAACUAAAACUGGAUUUCUUGAGUGCGGGAGAGGAAAGCGGAAUUCCUAGUGUAGCGGUGAAAUGCGUAGAUAUUAGGAGGAACACCAGUGGCGAAGGCGGCUUUCUGGACCGUAACUGACACUGAAGUACGAAAGCGUGGGGAGCAAACAGGAUUAGAUACCCUGGUA